UCCGGUUGAUCCUGCCAGAGGUUACUGCUAUCGGUGUUCGACUAAGCCAUGCUAGUUAAAUGUUCUUCGUGAACAUAGCAGACUGCUCAGUAACACGUGGACAAUCUGCCCUUGGGUUCAGCAUAACCCCGGGAAACUGGGGAUAAUUCUGAAUAGCUCACAUAUGCUGGAAUGCCUUGUGAUUUAAAGAUCCUUCGCCCAAGGAUGAGUCUGCGGCCUAUCAGGUUGUAGUGGGUCUAGAGUACCUACUAGCCAACGACGGGUACGGGUUGUGAGAGCAAGAGCCCGGAGAUGGAUUCUGAGACAAAAAUCCAGGCCCUACGGGGCGCAGCAGGCGCGAAACCUUUACACUGCGGGAAACCGCGAUAAGGGGACACCGAGUGCCAGCAUACAAUGCUGGCUGUCCACAUGUGUAAAUAGCAUGUGAUAGCAAGGGCCGGGCAAGACCGGUGCCAGCCGCCGCGGUAACACCGGCGGCCCGAGUGGUAAUCACUAUUAUUGGGUCUAAAGGGUCCGUAGCCGGUUUAAUCAGUCUUCCGGGAAAUCUGACAGCUCAACUGUUAGGCUCCCGGGGGAUACUGUUAGACUUGGGACCGGGAGAGGUAAGAGGUACUACAGGGGUAGGAGUGAAAUCUUGUAAUCCCUGUGGGACCACCAGUGGCGAAGGCGUCUUACCAGAACGGGUCCGACGGUGAGGGACGAAAGCUGGGGGCACGAACCGGAUUAGAUACCCGGGUAGUCCCAGCCGUAAACGAUGCUCGCUAGGUGUCUGGAAUGGUGCGACCGUUUCAGGUGCCGCAGGGAAGCCGUGAAGCGAGCCACCUGGGAAGUACGGCCGCAAGGCUGAAACUUAAAGGAAUUGGCGGGGGAGCACUACAACGGGUGGAGCCUGCGGUUUAAUUGGACUCAACGCCGGACAACUCACCGGGGGCGACAGCAACAUGUAGGUCAAGCUAAAGACUUUACCUGAAUCGCUGAGAGGAGGUGCAUGGCCGUCGUCAGUUCGUACUGUGAAGCAUCCUGUUAAGUCAGGCAACGAGCGAGACCCGUGCCCACUGUUGCCAGCAUAUCCUUUGGGAUGAUGGGUACUCUGUGGGGACCGCCGAUGCUAAAUCGGAGGAAGGUGCGGGCUACGGUAGGUCAGUAUGCCCCGAAUCUCCCGGGCGACACGCGGGCUACAAUGGUUGGGACAAUGGGCUCCUACACUGAAAAGUGACGGUAAUCUCAUAAACCCAGCCGUAGUUCGAAUUGAGGGCUGAAACCCGCCCUCAUGAAGCUGGAAUCCGUAGUAAUCGCGUUUCAAUAUAGCGCGGUGAAUACGUCCCUGCUCCUUGCACACACCGCCCGUCAAACCACCCGAGUGAGGUAUGGGUGAGGGCGCGGACUUUAGUGCUGCGUUCGAACCUAAAUUUCGCAAGGGGGGUUAAGUCGUAACAAGGUAACC
This 1444-nucleotide ribosomal RNA is filed under the name Methanohalophilus sp. Z-7302. RNAcentral describes it as "bacterial SSU rRNA". It matches the Rfam family "Archaeal small subunit ribosomal RNA". The record is from RNAcentral. Lineage: Archaea; Methanobacteriati; Methanobacteriota; Methanomicrobia; Methanosarcinales; Methanosarcinaceae.